CGCAUGCACGGCGGUUUGUUAAGUCAGAUGUGAAAGACCCGGGGCGUUAACCUCGGAAUAGCAUUUGUAAACUAGGCAGACUAGAGUACUGUAGAGGGGGGUAGGAAUUUCAGGUGUAGCGGUGAAAUAGCGUAGAGAUCUGAAGGAAUACCGGUGGCGAAGGCGGCCCCCUCGGACAGAUACUGACACUCAGAUGCGAAAGCGUGGGGAGCAAACAGGAUUAGAUACCCUGGUAG
RNAcentral lists this ribosomal RNA (236 nucleotides) under uncultured bacterium. RNAcentral's name for it is "partial 16S ribosomal RNA". It matches the Rfam family "Bacterial small subunit ribosomal RNA", at positions 567 to 793 of the family's 1533-position model. The record is from RNAcentral.